UACGGAGGAUGCAAGCGUUAUCCGGAAUGAUUGGGCGUAAAGCGUCUGUAGGUGGAUGUUCAAGUCUGCUGUCAAAGACCGGGGCUUAACCCUGGAAAGGCGGUGGAAACUGAAAAUCUAGAGUGCGGUAGGGGCGGAGGGAAUUCCCAGUGUAGCGGUGAAAUGCGUAGAGAUUGGGAAGAACACCGGUGGCGAAAGCGCUCUGCUAGGCCAAAACUGACACUAAGGGACGAAAGCUAGGGGAGCGAAUGGG
RNAcentral lists this ribosomal RNA (253 nucleotides) under uncultured bacterium. RNAcentral's name for it is "partial 16S ribosomal RNA". It matches the Rfam family "Bacterial small subunit ribosomal RNA", at positions 524 to 776 of the family's 1533-position model. The record is from RNAcentral.